UCUGGUUGAUCCUGCCAGAAGUUAUAUGCUUGUUUCAAGGAUUAAGCCAUGCAUGUCUAAGAAUAAAGUAAUCUAAGCUGAAUCUGCGUACGGCUCAUUAAACCAGCAAUGAUCUACCCUGGAAAGUGAGGCUUCGGCCUUGCCAUUCGGAUAUCCACUCGAAACGGGUGGUUAAUACGUGGAAGAAAAGAGCCGCCUCCAUCCAACCAGUGCUAGGGGAAACCCGAGCUGGGGAGGCGGUUUGGUGUGGACCGAAACAAAAACCGACGCCCGCAAGGGCAGUUUCAUUACAUCGGUGAAUCAGGUCCACUUAUUACCUAAAGCGCAGUUCACUGCGCGUUCCAGGACGAACUUCUGCCCUAUCAGCUAUGAUGGUUGUGUAGUGGACAACCAUGGCGGUCACGGGUAACGGAGAAUCAGGGUUCGAUUCCGGAGAGUGAGCCUGAGAGACGGCUAACACAACUAAGGUUGGCAGCAGGCGCGCAAAUUACCCAAUGUCAACACUGACGAGGUAGCGACGAAAAAUAGGAUUUCCGCUGGUCUUCGACCAGUGGAGAUUCCAAUGAAUGGUACUUAAACCCACCACUGAGUAACGAUUGGAGGGCAAGUCUGGUGCCAGCAGCCGCGGUAAUUCCAGCUCCAAGAGCGUAUGCUAAUGCUGUUGCUGUUAAAAAGCUCGUAGUUGGAUUCUGAGUUGAAGGUUGCACCCGGCCUUUCUACUGGGCGUCCUCUGGGCGCUCCAGUCAGAUUGGGUACAACCGAGUGCUUUCGACCUUCACUCUACACACGCGGAAACGAUUCCUCUGCGGAAGCCUCCUUCACUGGUGGUGGAAGCAACAUUACGGGACCACAAGUUCCCAUAAAGAGGCGUCCGCGAUUGUUACUGUGAACAAAACAGCGUGUUCAAAGCAUCCGUUUGGCUGAAUGAUCUAGCAUGGAAUAACAAGGGAUCGACCCUUUUGGUCUUCUUUUUGUCGGUUUUGAUUUCCCCAAGGGGCAAUCAAGGGCGGAGUAACCAUCUGGCCUCUUGUUGCGCUGGCUUCGGCCACGUGCUCAGGAACCAAAUGGUCUCCGUUCCGUCGGUAUUAAUAGGAGCAAGCGGGGUGGUACGUAUUGCUGCGUUAGUGGUGAAAUACUUAGACCGCAGCAGGACGAACAACAGCGAAGGC
RNAcentral lists this ribosomal RNA (1169 nucleotides) under uncultured soil eukaryote. Its description in RNAcentral is "partial small subunit ribosomal RNA". It matches the Rfam family "Eukaryotic small subunit ribosomal RNA", at positions 1 to 952 of the family's 1831-position model. The record is from RNAcentral.